AACGAACGUUAGCGGCGCGCCUAACACAUGCAAGUCGAACGCGACAGGGGCAACUCUGUUGAGUGGCGCACGGGUGAGUAACACGUAGGUAAUCUCCCCCCGAGUGGUGGAUAACCUUCCGAAAGGAGGGCUAAUACAGCAUAAGACCACGGCUUCGAAAGGAGCUGAGGUCAAAGCGGAGGAUCGCAAGACUUCGCGCUUGGGGAUGAGCCUGCGGCCCAUCAGGUAGUUGGCGGGGUAACAGCCCACCAAGCCUAAGACGGGUAGCUGGUCUGAGAGCAAGAGCAGGCACCAUGGAACUGAGACACGGUCCAGCAUCCUACGGGAGGCAGCAGUGGGGAAUCUUGCGCAAUGGACGAAAGUCUGAGGCAGCGACGCCGCGUGGGUGAUGAAGGCCGUCGGGUUGUAAAGCCCUGUGGGGAGGGACGAAUAAGUUUCAGCUAAUACCUGAAGCGAUGACGGUACCUCCUUAGCAAGCACCGGCUAACUCUGUGCCAGCCGCCGCAGUAA
This 510-nucleotide ribosomal RNA is filed under the name uncultured bacterium. RNAcentral describes it as "partial 16S ribosomal RNA". It matches the Rfam family "Bacterial small subunit ribosomal RNA", at positions 29 to 523 of the family's 1533-position model. The record is from RNAcentral.